GACGAACGCUGGCGGCGUGCUUAACACAUGCGAGUCGAACGGAAAGGCCCUGCUUUUGUGGGGUGCUCGAGUGGCGAACGGGUGAGUAACACGUGAGUAACCUGCCCUUGACUUUGGGAUAACUUCAGGAAACUGGGGCUAAUACCGGAUAGGAGCUCCUGCUGCAUGGUGGGGGUUGGAAAGUUUCGGCGGUUGGGGAUGGACUCGCGGCUUAUCAGCUUGUUGGUGGGGUAGUGGCUUACCAAGGCUUUGACGGGUAGCCGGCCUGAGAGGGUGACCGGCCACAUUGGGACUGAGAUACGGCCCAGACUCCUACGGUAGGCAGCAGUGGGGAAUAUUGCACAAUGGGCGGACGCCUGAUGCAGCAACGCCGCGUGCGGGAUGACGGCCUUCGGGUUGUAAACCGCUUUCGCCUGUGACGAAGCGUGAGUGACGGUAAUGGGUAAAGAAGCACCGGCUAACUACGUG
RNAcentral lists this ribosomal RNA (468 nucleotides) under uncultured bacterium. RNAcentral describes it as "partial 16S ribosomal RNA". It matches the Rfam family "Bacterial small subunit ribosomal RNA", at positions 28 to 507 of the family's 1533-position model. The record is from RNAcentral.